RNAcentral lists this non-coding RNA (187 nucleotides) under Flavonifractor plautii. RNAcentral's name for it is "Lysine sequence". It matches the Rfam family "Lysine riboswitch aptamer". From Rfam's summary of the family: Riboswitches are metabolite binding domains within certain messenger RNAs that serve as precision sensors for their corresponding targets. Allosteric rearrangement of mRNA structure is mediated by ligand binding, and this results in modulation of gene expression. This family includes riboswitches that sense lysine in a number of genes involved in lysine metabolism, including lysC. Lineage: Bacteria; Bacillati; Bacillota; Clostridia; Eubacteriales; Oscillospiraceae. RNAcentral also lists the same sequence under 1 other name. The record is from RNAcentral.
UGCAAUGAUAGAGGCGCGGAAUCGCAAGAGUAUCCGGCAUACCCUGCAAUGGGGCAGAGCACCCCGCCGGAGAAAGGGCCCUUCCGCCGAAGGGCCGGUCCCCUGCCUGGAGGACCGGUUGCCUGGGCCGUUGGGAUAACAUCUCACGGACUGCCACAUAUCAUCUGUGUGGAGCGCUAUCAUUGAG